UACGUAGGAACCGAGCGUUGUCCGGAUUCAUUGGGCGUAAAGAGCUCGUAGGCGGCUGCUCAAGUCGAAUGUGAAAACUCGAGGCUCAACCUCGAGCCUGCAUUCGAUACUGGGCGGCUAGAGUCUGGUAGGGGGAUCUGGAAUUCCUGGUGUAGCGGUGAAAUGCGCAGAUAUCAGGAGGAACACCGAUUGCGAAGGCAGCUCGCUGGGACGUUACUGACGCUGAGACGCGAAAGCGUGGGGAGCAAACAGG
RNAcentral lists this ribosomal RNA (253 nucleotides) under uncultured bacterium. RNAcentral describes it as "partial 16S ribosomal RNA". It matches the Rfam family "Bacterial small subunit ribosomal RNA", at positions 524 to 776 of the family's 1533-position model. The record is from RNAcentral.